This is a small nucleolar RNA of Arachis stenosperma, 95 nucleotides long. RefSeq annotates it as small nucleolar RNA snoR31/Z110/Z27. The transcript has a single exon. The record is from RefSeq and is a predicted model, not a curated record. Lineage: Eukaryota; Viridiplantae; Streptophyta; Magnoliopsida; Fabales; Fabaceae.
CACAUCAGGUGAUGAAAGUGGAAAUAAUCUUAGGACACCUUCCUACACAGCAAAUUGCUGUGGAUGAGAAAGAAAUUUCCAUCGCUGAUGAUGUG